This 381-nucleotide ribosomal RNA is filed under the name Najas environmental sample. Its description in RNAcentral is "SSU rRNA". It matches the Rfam family "Eukaryotic small subunit ribosomal RNA", at positions 585 to 972 of the family's 1831-position model. Lineage: Eukaryota; Viridiplantae; Streptophyta; Magnoliopsida; Alismatales; Hydrocharitaceae. The record is from RNAcentral.
CCAGCUCCAAUAGCGUAUAUUUAAGUUGCUGCAGUUAAAAAGCUCGUAGUUGGACUUUGGGUUGGGUCGGCCGGUCCGCCUCUGGUGUGCACCGGUCGUCUCGUCCCUUUUGCCGGUGACAUGUUCCUGGACUUAAUUGGCCGGGUCGUUUCUUCGGCGCUGUUACUUUGAAGAAAUUAGAGUGCUCAAAGCAAGCCCAAGCUCUGUAUACAUUAGCAUGGGAUAACAUCACAGGAUUUCGAUCCUAUUGUGUUGGCCUUCGGGAUCGGAGUAAUGAUUAAGAGGGACAGUCGUGGGCAUUCGUAUUUCAUAGUCAGAGGUGAAAUUCUUGGAUUUAUGGAAGACGAACAACUGCGAAAGCAUUUGCCAAGGAUGUUUUCA